AGAGGCCAGAGAGCGGCCCCCAGGAGAGCCCUGGAAACGCGCCCCGGAGGAGGAAUCAGCAUGGAUGUAUCAUGAAUGUACCAUGUGUGAAAACACAUUGGGAACAGACUGGGCAAUACUCUGAUCAUCAUGACUGGUACAGAAACACAGCACGGAAACUGUUGCACACAAGUAAUGCGUAGUUGCAUGUUUGGCUUUCCUACAACCUAGGCUGUAAAAAAAAAAGGAAGCACUGCUUGUAAUGAAUUGCAGACAGAGGCAAACUUUGAACAGCAUGAAGCAUUUGUUAACAGCAUUAGUUUCCAAACAGCUCUAUUCUGCUGCUCUAUUAGCUUCUCAAGCCAGCACCUGCUCUGGACUGGACCGUCUGAGAUUCAAAUAUUUGACAGGAGAGCCUGAAAGUGCAUUCAUAGUCAAUUUUGUGCAUAUGUAGAGAUCCAUCUGU
This is a long non-coding RNA of Aquila chrysaetos chrysaetos, 445 nucleotides long. RefSeq lists it as uncharacterized. Lineage: Eukaryota; Metazoa; Chordata; Aves; Accipitriformes; Accipitridae. The transcript has 3 exons. The record is from RefSeq and is a predicted model, not a curated record.